UCAUAGCGAGGAAAAGAAACCAACAGGGAUUGCCUCAGUAACGGCGAGUGAAGCGGCAACAGCUCAAAUUUGAAAUCUGGCCCCUUUGGGGUCCGAGUUGUAAUUUGCAGAGGGUGCUUUUGGUGUUGGCCGUGGUCUAAGUUCCUUGGAACAGGACGUCACAGAGGGUGAGAAUCCCGUACGUGGCCGCCGGCCCUCGCCUUGUAAAGCCCCUUCGACGAGUCGAGUUGUUUGGGAAUGCAGCUCUAAAUGGGAGGUAAAUUUCUUCUAAAGCUAAAUACCCGCCAGAGACCGAUAGCGCACAAGUAGAGUGAUCGAAAGAUGAAAAGCACUUUGGAAAGAGAGUGAAAAAGCACGUGAAAUUGUUGAAAGGGAAGCGCUUGCGGCCAGACGUGCCCGCGGUUGUUCAUCUGGGCUCUCGCCCGGUGCACUCCUCCGCGGGCAGGCCAGCAUCAGUUUGGGCGGUCGGACAAAGGUCUCUAUCACGUACCACCCCUCGGGGUGGCCUUAUAGGGGAGACGCAACACGGCCAGCCUGGACUGAGGUUCCGCGCAUCUGCUAGGAUGCUGGCGUAAUGGCAGCAAGCGGCCCGUCUUGAAACACGGACCAAGGAGUCUAACAUCUAUGCGAGUGUUUGGGUGUCAAGCCCGAGCGCGUAAUGAAAGUGAACGGAGGUGGGAACCCCUCGGGGCGCACCAUCGACCGAUCCUGAUGUCUUCGGAUGGAUUUGAGUAAGAGCAUAGCUGUUGGGACCCGAAAGAUGGUGAACUAUGCCUGAAUAGGGUGAAGCCAGAGGAAACUCUGGUGGAGGCUCGCAGCGGUUCUGACGUGCAAAUCGAUCGUCAAAUUUGGGCAUA
Molecule: ribosomal RNA, 857 nt
Filed under: Dendryphion sp.
Lineage: Eukaryota; Fungi; Ascomycota; Dothideomycetes; Pleosporales; Torulaceae
Description: partial large subunit ribosomal RNA
Rfam family: Eukaryotic large subunit ribosomal RNA
Source: RNAcentral